UCAAAACUAACAUUUCAAAAGAGUCGGAAAGAAUUAGCCAGCGGUUACCCCGGUGUCUACAGAAGAGGAAAGGGAAGUGGAGGAAUUUCUCUAGGGCGCUGUGAGUUUUCCUGGCUCCACUCCUCGCCGGUUAGGCUGCCGAUCGGAGUCAGCUUCUCCCCUUCGUGAGAAGUGGAAGAGACUGGUUUUCUGAAAGCAAUAGGACUGAAGAUGUUAACACUGAAUUUCUCAAUGUCCAGGUGGAACCGGCGUGGGACUGGCAUGGUACUUCCUGCUGCCCUCUUCAUAGGCCAAGGUGACAAUUCUGUUAGCUCAGGAUGGCGUUAGUUUCAAGAGAAACUGGAGGGCUUGUUUCCUGAAUCAUCUUCUUGUGAGCCCAUACUCUGCGAAGGGGAAGGCAAGUGGUGUGCUGUGACUGACCCUACCAGGACUUGGGAAAGCAGGCAUGCCAGCUACUCGGCCUGUCUCCCCUGCAGAAAGCCACCUGGGCCUUCCCUCGCCACACUCACAGGCAGUGCCUGACAAGCACCUCUGUGAACUUAUGGGUACUGGUUUUUAACAACAGUGAACUUCUGUUUAAUAAAUGAAAUCAUGUUUUUGUGCUUAA
Long non-coding RNA from Peromyscus maniculatus bairdii (prairie deer mouse), 607 nucleotides. RefSeq lists it as uncharacterized. The record is from RefSeq and is a predicted model, not a curated record. NCBI's taxonomy places the organism in Eukaryota, Metazoa, Chordata, Mammalia, Rodentia, Cricetidae.